UUGAUACCGGCCAGCAACUGCUUUAAUGGAUGGAAAUACAGAUCCAUAGGAACGCACACACAAGCAGGUAUGCGCAUUCUAAGUAAAUAAAUUUUCUAUAUUUUCAUUCAUAUCAAACGCAAAAAGCUGUAACGAAGUACUUAGAGCCCGCCGCAACUCUCACGGCUCGUUUUGGCUUUGUUCGGACGCACGGUAGAGUUG
This 201-nucleotide long non-coding RNA is filed under the name Volvox carteri. Its description in RNAcentral is "long non-coding RNA (VCAR_LNC003068)". The record is from RNAcentral. Lineage: Eukaryota; Viridiplantae; Chlorophyta; Chlorophyceae; Chlamydomonadales; Volvocaceae.